CAGGUGCGAAAGCAGGUCAUAGUGAUCCGGUGGUUCUGAAUGGAAGGGCCAUCGCUCAACGGAUAAAAGGUACUCCGGGGAUAACAGGCUGAUACCGCCCAAGAGUUCAUAUCGACGGCGGUGUUUGGCACCUCGAUGUCGGCUCAUCACAUCCUGGGGCUGAAGUAGGUCCCAAGGGUAUGGCUGUUCGCCAUUUAAAGUGGUACGCGAGCUGGGUUUAGAACGUCGUGAGACAGUUCGGUCCCUAUCUGCCGUGGGCGCUGGAGAACUGAGGGGGGCUGCUCCUAGUACGAGAGGACCGGAGUGGACGCAUCACUGGUGUUCGGGUUGUCAUGCCAAUGGCACUGCCCGGUAGCUAAAUGCGGAAGAGAUAAGUGCUGAAAGCAUCUAAGCACGAAACUUGCCCCGA
This 409-nucleotide ribosomal RNA is filed under the name Salmonella enterica. RNAcentral describes it as "partial 23S ribosomal RNA". It matches the Rfam family "Bacterial large subunit ribosomal RNA", at positions 2394 to 2802 of the family's 2925-position model. Lineage: Bacteria; Pseudomonadati; Pseudomonadota; Gammaproteobacteria; Enterobacterales; Enterobacteriaceae. The record is from RNAcentral.